Long non-coding RNA from Acyrthosiphon pisum (pea aphid), 1190 nucleotides. RefSeq lists it as uncharacterized. The record is from RefSeq and is a predicted model, not a curated record. NCBI's taxonomy places the organism in Eukaryota, Metazoa, Arthropoda, Insecta, Hemiptera, Aphididae. The transcript is spliced from 2 exons.
UCGUUUCACGUUUUUAGAUAAUGUAAUACUUGUGUACUCGCCCGUCGCCGGAGUCCACGACUAUUCACGAUGUAGAGAAGAUAUCUAAGAUGUUGUCUUCUCUAAAUCGUCAAUAUUAAUAUUGUUUAUACAUUAACUGUAUAAACAAUAUUGUGACAAUACUCUUCCCUAAUCGGCCUCACCUGCGGUGGCACACACCUAUAAACUAAGUUUAUACGUGCGACGGCCUACGUGUUCCGCAGCCUCUGAUCCGCACUCACACUCUCGACGUCGUUCGGCCGAUUAACUGAACCGUCGGCCAAUUGGCCCUUACACGUAGGUAACUUACAUUUCCCUAUCAUCUCGACGAUUCUCAGUUUCGACGAUUCCAAUCAGGGUAGUUGAACUACAGUAAAUUAUUGUAUUUCGAAUACCUUGGUCCGGAUGUCAAUACAUAUUGUUCAUUAGUGGAAUUGAAACGCCGUUGAAAAGCAAUAAGUUUAUGUGUAUGCAACGCAACAGGCUACAAUAUCCACAUAUCCAGUUCAAGAUGGCUGAUAAUGUGUCGUUUAAAAAAAUUUAAUAAUCAACAGUUGCUCACAAAUCAAGAUGACGUCUUACUUUUGCACUCACUUCAUUCACUCACCUUCGAGUAUGGUUAUGAUAGUUAAAUCCUAAACUCAUCUAUAUUCGUGAGGAUAUUUCAGAGAAUGUUAUUAAUAUCCUGAUACUGUGAUAUUGUGGCAAUUCUACUACAAGGGCAUACAUUUUUAUGUGCAUACUUCAGACAAUCUAAGUGUCAAUAGCCACAGCGUUUGCACAUAUAUUUUCAUCCGAUGGAUGCAAUUAUAGCUAUGGGAUAAAAGUGUAUGUGCCAACGCUACGGCAUUUAGAUUGUUUGAUGUGUGCAUAUAAAAACGACUGACCUUACAGUUACAUACAUCAAAAGUGCCACAAAUUAAGAACAAUUAUGUAUUAGGUAUCUGAAAUAUGUUUAUGAAAACAGAUGUGAAUUGAGAUAAAAUUAUUACUUGACCUAACUAACAUGAUUACAAAUUUUGUUUGCUUUAGAAUUAUUAAAAUAAAUUGCAGGAAUUUGAAAAUAUUACAUUAUCAGAAAUAUCAUAUUUUUUUUUUAUAAAAUUUUCUUAUAGUUAUAUUUUAACGAACAAUAACAUUAAUAUUUAAAUAUAUUUUUUACAAUAAUCUUA